Molecule: long non-coding RNA, 728 nt
Organism: Drosophila willistoni
Lineage: Eukaryota; Metazoa; Arthropoda; Insecta; Diptera; Drosophilidae
Exons: 2
Source: RefSeq, a predicted model, not a curated record
UUUAUUUGAUUCAAAUUGAUUUCUGUACAUAGAUCGGUUAUUUUAAAACGUUGCUAUGGCCACACCAGACAGAUGGUCACACUUAGCAGAUCAUAUGUUCUUGUAGUUCGUAUUGUCUUGCCCAAAAUUGAAAGAUAAUAUGCGUAUAAAACAUGUCAUGUUAGAUAAACUAACCACAAUAUUUCGGCAAAGUGAUUCUGUUUAGCGAUGUUCCGAUUUCAUACAGAUCUUAUUGUUUUUACAGCAUCAUAACCAUGCACGCCUUUUACGUGAAUAAAUUUACAUACAUAUUAAUCUAUGGAUGUGGAGUUUUCUGUAUACAGCAGGAAAGUCAAUGGGUUUCUAUCUGAAUGAUAAAAUUUUUAAAUUUGAUACUGAUGCUGAAGAAAUACAAAUAAUUCAAUACAUGUUUAUCCAUAUGUAUAUGUUUGUACAUUCAUACAUACAUACAUACAUACUUAGUAUGUAAUACAUCCAAACAAACAAAGGUCAACUGCACUGUAUGACAGCAUAUUUCAUGGGCCACAAAUAAACGGAGUUUGAGUGUAUGGUAAAACAGGAAAACUGUAUAGCAAAAGUUGCGUGAAAUCCAUUUUUUCAUUAAGCAAAUUUCAUUCUUUGAGAAACUGAUAUUUAAUUUUAGUCUUAUUUCGAAAAUCGCGUAUCCAAUCAAAUAAUGUAACCUUUUUUCCACAUACGAAAAGCUAACGAUACUAAAGUCAAAUGAA